RNAcentral lists this ribosomal RNA (253 nucleotides) under uncultured bacterium. RNAcentral describes it as "partial 16S ribosomal RNA". It matches the Rfam family "Bacterial small subunit ribosomal RNA", at positions 524 to 776 of the family's 1533-position model. The record is from RNAcentral.
UACGUAGGUGGCAAGCGUUAUCCGGAAUUACUGGGCGUAAAGCGCACGCAGGUGGUUUGCUAAGUUUGACGUGAAAGCGCCUGGCUUAACUGGGCGAGGUCGUUGGAGACUGGCAGACUAGAGGUGAGGAGAGGGGUGUAGAAUUCCCGGUGUAGUGGUGGAAUGCGUAGAUAUCGGGAGGAAUACCAGUGGCGAAAGCGGCACCCUGGCCUUGGCCUGACGCUCAUGUGCGAAAGCGUGGGUAGCAAACGGG